GAUGAACGCUGGCGGCGUGCCUAAUACAUGCAAGUCGAGCGAACAGACGAGGAGCUUGCUCCUCUGACGUUAGCGGCGGACGGGUGAGUAACACGUGGAUAACCUACCUAUAAGACUGGGAUAACUUCGGGAAACCGGAGCUAAUACCGGAUAAUAUAUUGAACCGCAUGGUUCAAUAGUGAAAGACGGUUUUACUGUCACUUAUAGAUGGAUCCGCGCCGCAUUAGCUAGUUGGUAAGGUAACGGCUUACCAAGGCAACGAUGCGUAGCCGACCUGAGAGGGUGAUCGGCCACACUGGAACUGAGACACGGUCCAGACUCCUACGGGAGGCAGCAGUAGGGAAUCUUCCGCAAUGGGCGAAAGCUUGACGGAGCAACGCCGCGUGAGUGAUGAAGGUCUUCGGAUCGUAAAACUCUGUUAUUAGGGAAGAACAAAUGUGUAAGUAACUAUGCACGUCUUGACGGUACCUAAUCAGAAAGCCACGGCUAACUACG
This 495-nucleotide ribosomal RNA is filed under the name uncultured bacterium. RNAcentral's name for it is "partial 16S ribosomal RNA". It matches the Rfam family "Bacterial small subunit ribosomal RNA", at positions 28 to 505 of the family's 1533-position model. The record is from RNAcentral.